This 431-nucleotide ribosomal RNA is filed under the name Asceua sp. MR378. RNAcentral's name for it is "partial 16S ribosomal RNA". Lineage: Eukaryota; Metazoa; Arthropoda; Arachnida; Araneae; Zodariidae. The record is from RNAcentral.
UUUUAAUAAUUUAUUAUUAAUACAACCUGCUCAAUGAUAUUAAAUAGCCGCAAUUAUUUGUGCUAAGGUAGCAUAAUCAUUUGUCUUAUAAUUCAAGACUAGAAUGAAAGGUUAAACAAUUUAAUUAUUAUCUAAAUUUAAACAAUUUAAUCUAUUCUAAAUAUAAAAAAAUAUUUAUAAUCAAGAAAGACGACAAGACCCUAUCGAACUUCACUUUAGUUUAACUGGGGAAGUAAGUUAAUUAAAAUUUUAAUAAUCCUUUACAAAAAAAAAUCUAAUAAAAUUAAAUAAUUAAGUUACCGUAGGGAUAACAGCGCAAUUAUAUUCUAAAGAUCUUAUACAAAAUAUAUAUUACGACCUCGAUGUUGAAUAAUAACCUAUUUAAUGCACCGAAUAAAAAAGGUAGUCUGUUCGACUAUUAAACAAUUACA